RNAcentral lists this ribosomal RNA (1381 nucleotides) under human gut metagenome. RNAcentral describes it as "bacterial LSU rRNA". It matches the Rfam family "Bacterial large subunit ribosomal RNA", at positions 1100 to 2497 of the family's 2925-position model. The record is from RNAcentral.
GUUGGCUUGGAAGCAGCCAUUCAUUUAAAGAGUGCGUAACAGCUCACUAGUCGAGUGGUCCCGCAUGGAUAAUAAUCGGGCAUAAGUCCGCUGCCGAAGCCGUGGAAUGCAGCUAUAAGCUGCAUUGGUAGGGGAGCAUUCCGCAGGCCGUCGAAGGCUUGGCGCGAGCCAUGCUGGAGGUACCGGAAAAGCAAAUGUAGGUAUAAGUAACGACAAGGAGGGCGAGAAACCCUCCCGCCGAAAGACCAAGGGUUCCUGAUCAACGCUAAUCGGAUCAGGUUAAGUCGGGGCCUAAUGGGCAGCCGCAAGGCGGACCAGAUGGACAGCCGGUCAACAUUCCGGCACCCUUUGAGAGAGCGAUGCGGCGACGGAGAAGUGACACACCCGCGCACUGACGGAAUAGUGCGUUGAACCGGGUAGCUAUACGUGGCGUAGUAAAGUACGCGCCAUGUGGUGAGCCGGGAUAGUACCGAGCGCCCCCGGGCAAUCGGAUAGCGGUGGUAACCAUGCUCCCAAGAAAACCCGCUAAGCAAUCUUUCAGAGGCCCGUACCGCAAACCGACACAGGUGGUCGGGUAGAAAAUACCAAGGCGCUCGAGAGAUUCAUGGUUAAGGAACUAGGCAAACUGACCCCGUAACUUCGGGAUAAGGGGUCCCCGCUCCAGGGCGGGGCGCAGAGAAUAGGUCCAGGCAACUGUUUAACAAAAACACAGGGCUAUGCAAAGUUUAAAGACGAAGAAUAUAGCCUGACACCUGCCCGGUGCCGGAAGGUUAAGAGGAGAUGUCAUCGCAAGAGAAGCAUUGAAUUGAAGCCCCGGUAAACGGCGGCCGUAACUAUAACGGUCCUAAGGUAGCGAAAUUCCUUGUCGGGUAAGUUCCGACCUGCACGAAUGGUGUAAUGAUCUGGACACUGUCUCAACCGUGAGCUCGGUGAAAUUGUAGUAUCGGUGAAGAUGCCGAUUACCCGCAACGGGACGAAAAGACCCCGUGAACCUUUACUGCAGCUUAGCACUGUGACCGGGUGUGCGAUGUGUAGGAUAGUCAGGAGGCAGUGAGACGGCGACGCCAGUCGUCGUGGAGCCGUUGUUGAAAUACUGACCUUCGCACAUUUGGUCUCUAACACGCUUGAGCGUGGACACUGCUUGGUGGGUAGUUUGACUGGGGUGGUCGCCUCCAAAAGAGUAACGGAGGCUUCUAAAGGUACCCUCAGGCCGAUUGGUAACCGGCCGCAGAGUGUAAUGGCACAAGGGUGCUUGACUGGGAGACUAACAAGUCGCACAGGUAGGAAACUAGAGCAUAGUGAUCCGGUGGUUCCGCAUGGAAGGGCCAUCGCUCAAAGGAUAAAAGGUACUCCGGGGAUAACAGGCUGAUCCCUCCCAAGA